This 730-nucleotide small RNA is filed under the name Pongo abelii (Sumatran orangutan). RNAcentral's name for it is "processed transcript". Lineage: Eukaryota; Metazoa; Chordata; Mammalia; Primates; Hominidae. The record is from RNAcentral.
GCGGCGGCGCGGUUGCGAUUCCGAGCCGUUGAGACGCCUCUGCGGCAGCUGGUGGCGCAGGUGGCUUGCGUGGACGCGGGUAGAGGCGACCGGCCAGCAACCGCAGCGUCGGCGCCCGCGGCCCCGGCAGCAGGCGCGUCGGGACGCCCCGAGGCAUCCUCCCCCGCCCGCGGGCCCGACAGCUGGGCCCGCGUCCGCCGCCCGCAUCCCCGCGCCGCCGCAUCUCCUCGCCGCCUCUCGGGCUUCGGACCCCCGGUCUCGCCCCCGAAACAUGACUCGCGAUUUCAAACCUGGAGACCUCAUCUUCGCCAAGAUGAAAGGUUAUCCCCAUUGGCCAGCUCGAGUAGACGAAGUUCCUGAUGGAGCUGUAAAGCCACCCACAAACAAACUACCCAUUUUCUUUUUUGGAACUCAUGAGACUGCUUUUUUAGGACCAAAGGAUAUAUUUCCUUACUCAGAAAAUAAGGAAAAGUAUGGCAAGCCAAAUAAAAGAAAAGGUUUUAAUGAAGGUUUAUGGGAGAUAGAUAACAAUCCAAAAGUGAAAUUUUCAAGUCAACAGAGACAGGGUUUUGUCAUGUUGGCCAGACUACUCUCAAACUCCUGACUUCAGGUGAUCCACCCGCCUCAGCCUCCCAAAGUGCUGGGAUUACAGAUGUGAGCCACUGCGCCCAGCCUUUAAUUUCUAAAUCCAUUGAAUUGUAUUAGAAUAUGAACCUCAUGAGUUAAAUUA